This 301-nucleotide ribosomal RNA is filed under the name uncultured bacterium. RNAcentral describes it as "partial 16S ribosomal RNA". It matches the Rfam family "Bacterial small subunit ribosomal RNA", at positions 509 to 807 of the family's 1533-position model. The record is from RNAcentral.
CAGUCGCCACGGUAAUACGAAGGUGGCAAGCGUUGUCCGGAAUUAUUGGGCGUAAAGGGCUCGCAGGCGGUUUCUUAAGUCUGAUGUGAAAGCCCCCGGCUCAACCGGGGAGGGUCAUUGGAAACUGGGAAACUUGAGUGCAGAAGAGGAGAGUGGAAUUCCACGUGUAGCGGUGAAAUGCGUAGAGAUGUGGAGGAACACCAGUGGCGAAGGCGACUCUCUGGUCUGUAACUGACGCUGAGGAGCGAAAGCGUGGGGAGCGAACAGGAUUAGAUACCCGUGUAGUCCCUGUCUCUUAUAC